AGUCGCUAUGCGUGUGCUUGUGGGUGGCGGGACAGGCUUCAUUGGGACAGCCCUAACCCAGCUGCUGAAUGCCAGAGGCCACGAAGUGACGUUGAUCUCCCGACACCCUGGGCCCGGCCGGAUCACGUGGGUAAGUCCAUCCUCUGGAAGCGGGUGGGAGGGCAGAGUUGGGCGGCGCAGAGCGGGGCAGCGGCACUGUGUGCUUUCUCCGACAGGAUGAGCUCGCUGCAUCGGGGCUGCCGAGCUGCGAUGCCGCCGUCAACCUGGCCGGAGAGAACAUCCUCAACCCUCUCCGAAGGUCAGCCCGGGCCCUAAAGCUGAUACCCACUAGAGCACAGGGAGGAAAGUGCCCCACUGAUGAGAACCUGUGAGCUAUGGGUAAUGGAGCUCCCAGAUUCCGAACUAAACCGAUAUCCCAGACUACUCAUUCUGCUCCACUCCUCCACCCCCACCUGCUCCUCCACCCAGUCAGCCGAUUGGCUUAAGUCCUCACCUAUAACUCAGGAUGCCCAAGAAAUGAAUGCCCUUUCCCUCUACAGGAGACGUUGACUGUUUCUCUUAAGCCAAAAUUCAGGGCUUUACAAGAAAUUGGUAUGAAAUAGCUCCCAGGAAAAGAUAGAGAGAGGGAUAUGUGCACUUAUGUAUUUAGUGGCUUUUUAUUUCCCAUGUUUCUCCUGCAGAUGGAAUGAAACCUUCCAAAAAGAGGUUCUCGGCAGCCGCCUAGAGACCACCCAAUUGCUGGCUAAAGCCAUCACCAAAGCCCCACAACCCCCCAGGCCUGGGUCUUAGUCACAGGUGUAGGUAUGCCCCCAAAUCACCAGCCUCUUAUAUUCGCCAGGGGAACGGGGUAACUCAGACCUCUGUAGCUAUGCACAUACCAGGGCACUGGUCUUUUCCAGGCAAAAUGACUUCCUAGGCCCUUGAUCCAUGCAUGUUUCUCCUAACCUUUGUGUACUUUCACUAAGAAAUUGAGACCCUGAAAAAGAGUGGGGAGUGGCAUCACUCUUAGUGCCAGGGAAAAGUCCACCUAUCCCAAAGUCCCUUACUUCUCACACCAUAGUUCUUUAGGAACAGAGUUCCUGGUCACCUUUGGGACCAAGUAAUUGCAAACAAUUAUACACACCAGCCACUAUUUGAAGUGUUUUAUGCUUAUUAUUAUUUAUUCCUUACAACAACCCUAUGAGGUAGGUACUAUUAUUCCCAUUUUACAGAUGUGAAAAUUCUAUACAGAGAGGUUAAGUAACUUGCAUCAAGUCAGAGAGUUAAUAAAUGAGGGAGCUGAUUAAAAUUCAGGCGCCUGGUACCCAAGUUCCUGUUCUUAACCACUACACUCUAGCAGCCUCUAAGUUUAGCCCUGCAACCAAAGAGUUCCUCCAGGGAAGGAACGCUUCAGGUCAUGGAGAAGUUCAAGGGGAAAAUAUCCAAAUGGCUCUGUCUCCAAAUGGGGAGAUCCUAAGGGCCAAAGAAGCUUACUACCAGCCCAGUCUGACUGCGGAGUAUGAUGAAGACAGCCCAGGAGGAGACUUUGACUUUUUCUCCAACCUCGUAACCAAAUGGGAAGCUGCAGCCAGGCUUCCUGGAGAUCCUACACGCCAGGUGGUGGUGCGCUCAGGGGUUGUGCUGGGCCGUGGGGGUGGUGCCAUGGGCCACAUGCUGCUGCCCUUUCGCCUGGGCCUGGGGGGCCCCAUCGGCUCAGGCCACCAAUUCUUCCCCUGGAUACACAUUGGGGACCUGGCAGGAAUCCUGACCCAUGCCCUUGAAGCAAACCACGUGCACGGGGUCCUGAAUGGAGUGGCUCCAUCCUCCGCCACUAAUGCUGAGUUUGCCCAGACCUUGGGUGCUGCCCUGGGCCGCCGAGCCUUCAUCCCUCUCCCCAGCACUGUGGUGCAAGCUGUCUUUGGGCGAGAGCGUGCCAUCAUGCUGCUGGAGGGCCAGAAGGUGAUCCCACGGCGAACACUGGCCACUGGCUACCAGUAUUCCUUCCCAGAGCUAGGGGCUGCCUUAAAGGAAAUUGUAGCCUAAGUAGGUCGUGGCAAGGGCCUGAGGCCUGUCCCUCACAGGCUUCCAAGUUAGGCACUGUGAAUAGGCUCAGUUCCUCUAGAGAGCUGAAGCCAUCUGGUUCUUAGAUUCCUCUCCCAGUCCUCUUUCCCAUUGUUCUGUUGCUCCACCUUAUUGUCUCAAGGCCGUAAUCUCUUCAGGUUGGGACAUUAAUCUUUUCAACUCCUUGUAAGAUUUCCCAGUUUGGUUUCUCUCCAUGUCCUGCAGCUGCCCCACUUCUCCUUUACGCUGUGUAGAGAAUGCUCUGCAGUUUAGGCAAUAAAAAUAAAUUGUAUCACU
Molecule: small RNA, 2337 nt
Filed under: Pongo abelii (Sumatran orangutan)
Lineage: Eukaryota; Metazoa; Chordata; Mammalia; Primates; Hominidae
Description: retained intron
Source: RNAcentral